Molecule: ribosomal RNA, 301 nt
Filed under: uncultured bacterium
Lineage: Bacteria
Description: partial 16S ribosomal RNA
Rfam family: Bacterial small subunit ribosomal RNA
Source: RNAcentral
CAGUAGCCACGGUAAUACAGAGGGUGCGAGCGUUAAUCGGAUUUACUGGGCGUAAAGCGUGCGUAGGCGGCUUCUUAAGUCGGAUGUGAAAUCCCUGAGCUUAACUUAGGAAUUGCAUUCGAUACUGGGAAGCUAGAGUAUGGGAGAGGAUGGUAGAAUUCCAGGUGUAGCGGUGAAAUGCGUAGAGAUCUGGAGGAAUACCGAUGGCGAAGGCAGCCAUCUGGCCUAAUACUGACGCUGAGGUACGAAAGCAUGGGGAGCAAACAGGAUUAGAUACCCGCGUAGUCCCUGUCUCUUAUAA